CUCCUACGGGAGGCAGCAGUAGGGAAUCUUCCGCAAUGGACGAAAGUCUGACGGAGCAACGCCGCGUGAGUGAUGAAGGCUUUCGGGUCGUAAAACUCUGUUGUUAGGGAAGAACAAGUGCUAGUUGAAUAAGCUGGCACCUUGACGGUACCUAACCCAGAAAGCCACGGCUAACUACGUGCCAGCAGCCGCGGUAAUACGUAGGUGGCAAGCGUUAUCCGGAAUUAUUGGGCGUAAAGCGCGCGCAGGUGGUUUCUUAAGUCUGAUGUGAAAGCCCACGGCUCAACCGUGGAGGGUCAUUGGAAACUGGGAGACUUGAGUGCAGAAGAGGAAAGUGGAAUUCCAUGUGUAGCGGUGAAAUGCGUAGAGAUAUGGAGGAACACCAGUGGCGAAGGCGACUUUCUGGUCUGUAACUGACACUGAGGCGCGAAAGCGUGGGGAGCAAACAGGAUUAGAUACCCUGGUAGUCCACGCCGUAAACGAUGUCGACUUGGAGGUUGUGCCCUUGAGGCGUGGCUUCCGGAGCUAACGCGUUAAGUCGACCGCCUGGGGAGUACGGCCGCAAGGUUAAAACUCAAAUGAAUUGACGGGGGCCCGCACAAGCGGUGGAGCAUGUGGUUUAAUUCGAUGCAACGCGAAGAACCUUACCUACUCUUGACAUCCAGAGAAGUUUGCAGAGAUGCGAAUGUGCCUUCGGGAACUCUGAGACAGGUGCUGCAUGGCUGUCGUCAGCUCGUGUUGUGAAAUGUUGGGUUAAGUCCCGCAACGAGCGCAACCCUUAUCCUUUGUUGCCAGCGGUUAGGCCGGGAGCUCAAAGGAGACUGCCAGUGAUAAACUGGAGGAAGGUGGGGAUGACGUCAAGUCAUCAUGGCCCUUACGAGUAGGGCUACACACGUGCUACAAUGGCGCAUACAAAGAGAAGCGACCUCGCGAGAGCAAGCGGACCUCAUAAAGUGCGUCGUAGUCCGGAUUGGAGUCUGCAACUCGACUCCAUGAAGUCGGAAUCGCUAGUAAUCGUAGAUCAGAAUGCUACGGUGAAUACGUUCCCGGGCCUUGUACACACCGCCCGU
RNAcentral lists this ribosomal RNA (1070 nucleotides) under uncultured Staphylococcaceae bacterium. Its description in RNAcentral is "bacterial SSU rRNA". It matches the Rfam family "Bacterial small subunit ribosomal RNA", at positions 336 to 1397 of the family's 1533-position model. The record is from RNAcentral. Lineage: Bacteria; Bacillati; Bacillota; Bacilli; Caryophanales; Staphylococcaceae.